UACGUAGGCAGCGAGCGUUGUUCGGAGUUACUGGGCGUAAAGAGUGCGUAGGCGGUUUUCUAAGUUUGGUGUGAAAUCUCCCGGCUCAACUGGGAGGGUGCGCCGAAGACUGGAAGGCUUGAGUAUGGGAGAGGUAAGCGGAAUUCCUGGUGUAGCGGUGAAAUGCGUAGAUAUCGGGAGGAACACCAGUGGCGAAGGCGGAUCUCUGGGCCUUACCUGACGCUCAGGUGCGAAAGCUAGGGGAGCGAACAGG
RNAcentral lists this ribosomal RNA (253 nucleotides) under uncultured bacterium. Its description in RNAcentral is "partial 16S ribosomal RNA". It matches the Rfam family "Bacterial small subunit ribosomal RNA", at positions 524 to 776 of the family's 1533-position model. The record is from RNAcentral.